GGACGUGCUUGCACGGACUUGACGUUGGUUUACCAGCGAGUGGCGGACGGGUGAGUAACACGUAGGUAACCUGCCCCAAAGCGGGGGAUAACAUUUGGAAACAGAUGCUAAUACCGCAUAACAAUUUGAAUCGCAUGAUUCAAAUUUAAAAGAUGGUUUCGGCUAUCACUUUGGGAUGGACCUGCGGCGCAUUAGCUUGUUGGUAGGGUAACGGCCUACCAAGGCUGUGAUGCGUAGCCGAGUUGAGAGACUGAUCGGCCACAAUGGAACUGAGACACGGUCCAUACUCCUACGGGAGGCAGCAGUAGGGAAUCUUCCACAAUGGGCGCAAGCCUGAUGGAGCAACACCGCGUGAGUGAAGAAGGGUUUCGGCUCGUAAAGCUCUGUUGUUAGAGAAGAACGUGCGUGAGAGCAACUGUUCACGCAGUGACGGUAUCUAACCAGAAAGUCACGGCUAACUACGUGCCAGCAGCCGCGGUAAUACGUAGGUGGCAAGCGUUAUCCGGAUUUAUUGGGCGUAAAGCGAGCGCAGGCGGUUUGAUAAGUCUGAUGUGAAAGCCUUUGGCUUAACCAAAGAAGUGCAUCGGAAACUGUCAGACUUGAGUGCAGAAGAGGACAGUGGAAUUCCAUGGGU
RNAcentral lists this ribosomal RNA (634 nucleotides) under Limosilactobacillus mucosae. Its description in RNAcentral is "bacterial SSU rRNA". It matches the Rfam family "Bacterial small subunit ribosomal RNA", at positions 51 to 676 of the family's 1533-position model. Lineage: Bacteria; Bacillati; Bacillota; Bacilli; Lactobacillales; Lactobacillaceae. The record is from RNAcentral.